RNAcentral lists this long non-coding RNA (1877 nucleotides) under Homo sapiens (human). RNAcentral describes it as "TPT1 antisense RNA 1". The record is from RNAcentral. Lineage: Eukaryota; Metazoa; Chordata; Mammalia; Primates; Hominidae.
GGAGUACGUUGGACCCGGCUCCGCCCUACCCCACGGGGCCGCCUGGAGAGGUGCUGGGAGCUGGGUGGAGCUUAGAGGAAUUAAACUUUGGCCCUGCGCCUCGUCCAGCCUAGGUUCCACCCUUUUCUGGGAACGUGAGUAUCAACCAAGUUUACACCCCGCCACUCCUGAGCACCGCACACCGGCUUCCUCCCAGUCCCUCAUCUGAGAACUCAUGAAGCCACUUGGAAUCCCUCUCUGCUUUGCCUGGCUCAUUCCAUGUCAAUUUCAGAUCUUCACUUCAGGUCAGCUCCAAGGAGGCUAUCCUUGCCCAUCUUCCUAAAAUAGAGCUCUCAAAACCUGGCUGUUUUCCUUCAGAGCACUGGCCUCCAAUUGCUCCGGUAGAUUGCAAAUGACCUGCUUUCUUUCUGUUCCCGGGCGUUUGGACCCCUGUCUUGGACCGCUGUCGGAUAGUAAAUCCCAAGUAAGGUACCUGCCGUCGGCAGAUUUGAGCUUUCUUCUUGGACACCUAAUACCCAGAGUCCUCCAGGCUCCGGUAGAUUGCAAAUGACCUGCUUUCUUUCUGUUCCCGGGCGGCAUCGGACCCGUCGGAGAGUAAAUCCCAAGUAAGGUACCUGCCGUUGGCAGAUUUGAGCUUUCUUCUUGGACACCUAAUACCCACAGUCCUCCAGGCUCCGGUAGAUUGCAAAUGACCUGCUUUCUUUCUGUUCCCGGGUGGCAUCGACCCGUCGGAGAGUAAAUCCCAAGUAAGGUACCUGCCGUUGGCAGAUUUGAGCUUUCUUCUUGGACACCUAAUACCCACAGUCCUCCAGGCUCCGGUAGAUUGCAAAUGACCUGCUUUCUUUCUGUUCCCGGGCUGCGUUCGGACCCCUGUCGGAUAGUAACUCCCAAGUAAGGUACCUGCCGUCGGCAGAUUGGAGCUUUCUUCUUGGAGACCUAAUACCCACAGUCCUCCAGAAAAACAAACAAAGACAUGGAUUUACUGUGCAUAUUAGCAGAUCCAUACUGGAAAAUGCAUGGAGGUUUCAUAUACACCACUUACAGGUUUCCAAAGCCACAAUUUCCUUCAUAUGUUCAAACUCUUCAGGAUGCAGAAAGGCAGUGAACUCCUCCGGAGUAGCUGUCAGGUCACCAUUGAGGUCUGCAGCUUUGAAUCUUCUCUCAUCACGUGGCAGCAUCUUUUUAAAGGUGUGAUGAUCUGAAGAAUCAUGAAACUCUGCGGGGUUUCCUAGGUUUUCAGCUCCUCAGUAGUGACAAAGCCAUACCCAUCAUUGUCGAUUCGAUCAACAAUCUUCCCUAGCCUCUCCUUGCUCUCGUCCGGGGUGAGCUCGUCGAAGUUCUUGGAGUCCUCCUUGCCCAGGAAGGCCUCGUGGUCGUACUGGAAGCUCUGGUUGUCCUCAGGGGGCCGCUCGCCCAGCUCCGAGUCGGGCCGCACCACGCGCUCUUUGCGCACCGUGGGCUUGGCCCGCAGAACCCGCGGCGCCAGCACCAGCGCCAGCAGCAGCCCCAGGGCUAACCCCAGGCGGCCACCGCGCGCCAUCGUCCCGAGGAGAGGGCGGCCGGGAGGGAGACGCUGAGCGAGCGACAACAGCGGCAGCUCGGGAAUGGGGGCUCGGAGCGCGGCGGCCAAGUUUUAUGUUAUGUAUAUUUUACAAGUAAAAAAAUUUUUUCACCUCAGCCUGAACUGAACACUAGCUGACAGACGUUUUGAUUUCUUUGACCAUCACGGAAUCGUGGCCAAGCGCGGUGGCUCACAUCUGUAAUCCCAACACUUUGGGAGGUCAAGAUGGGCGGAUUGCUUGAAUCCAGGUGUUUGAGAUCAGCCUGGGCAACAUGACAAAACCCUGUUUCUAGUAAAAAUACAAAAAUUAACCAGG